UAAAAUUGACCAUCAGCGUCAAUCUUGAUUCUUGAACUUGGUGGGGAUUUUUCAUUUUGUGCCUUCUGCCAUCUUCAAACGGGAUUCAACUUCUGCAAGCAAGACCUAUUGCAUCAACUGGUGACUUACAGCAGCAGUGCUUCUUCGAUGGAUUCAUGCCCAAUGUCCUUCGCACUUUACCAACACAACCAAACUCGCAAAAUAACUAUAGAUUUACAAAA
This 221-nucleotide unclassified non-coding RNA is filed under the name Hevea brasiliensis (rubber tree). Lineage: Eukaryota; Viridiplantae; Streptophyta; Magnoliopsida; Malpighiales; Euphorbiaceae. The record is from RNAcentral.